AGGAGGGGCUGCAGCAGCUGCUGAAAGAGCAGUGGGAGGAGGAGCAGGAGCUGGAGCAGCUGGUGCUGCAGUGGUCAGAGUAGCAGUAGUCUGAGGAACAAUCUGAAUUCCCAAGGCAACUGACAUUGACAACGUCCGAGGCUUAUUAAAGCAAAUGCAACAAUCAUCAAUCACUGCAUAAGCCGGAAGGAUCAGUCUUUUUGAAAGGCCAUCUUAUGUUUUUCU
Paramormyrops kingsleyae is the source of this 225-nucleotide long non-coding RNA. RefSeq lists it as uncharacterized. The record is from RefSeq and is a predicted model, not a curated record. NCBI's taxonomy places the organism in Eukaryota, Metazoa, Chordata, Actinopteri, Osteoglossiformes, Mormyridae.